UUGCAAUGAUGUAUGAAUUUCUUCACCUGAAACUUGCACCAUGAAGAGCAAACUGUACGAGCUUUUUAACCCUGAGCAAC
Molecule: small nucleolar RNA, 80 nt
Organism: Crocodylus porosus (Australian saltwater crocodile)
Lineage: Eukaryota; Metazoa; Chordata; Crocodylia; Crocodylidae
Source: Ensembl